Molecule: transfer RNA, 75 nt
Filed under: Prochlorococcus marinus str. MIT 1323
Lineage: Bacteria; Bacillati; Cyanobacteriota; Cyanophyceae; Synechococcales; Prochlorococcaceae
Description: tRNA-Arg
Source: RNAcentral
UUUUCCUGGAGAAUUGAGCCGCUCCCGCAGCCUGCGGGGUAGCGGACCGGUGCGUGCGAUUCGUUUGGGGAAACC